GACGGAGGAUGCAAGCGUUAUCCGGAAUGAUUGGGCGUAAAGCGUCCGCAGGUGGCAGUUCAAGUCUGCUGUCAAAGACCGGGGCUUAACCUCGGAAAGGCAGUGGAAACUGAACAGCUAGAGUAUGGUAGGGGCAAAGGGAAUUCCUGGUGUAGCGGUGAAAUGCGUAGAGAUCAGGAAGAACAUCGGUGGCGAAGGCGCUUUGCUGGACCAUAACUGACACUGAGAGAUGAAAGUCGGGGGAGCGAAAAGG
This 253-nucleotide ribosomal RNA is filed under the name uncultured bacterium. RNAcentral's name for it is "partial 16S ribosomal RNA". It matches the Rfam family "Bacterial small subunit ribosomal RNA", at positions 524 to 776 of the family's 1533-position model. The record is from RNAcentral.